UGGGGAAUAUUGCACAAUGGGCGCAAGCCUGAUGCAGCCAUGCCGCGGGUAUGAAGAAGGCCUUCGGGUUGUAAAGUACUUUCAGCGGGGAGGAAGGGAGUAAAGUUAAUACCUUUGCUCAUCGACGUUCCCCGCAGAAGAAGCACCGGCUAACUCCGUGCCAGCAGCCGCGGUAAUACGGAGGGUGCAAGCGGUAAUCGGAAUUACUGGGCGUAAAGCGCACGCAGGCGGUUUGUUAAGUCAGAGGUGAAAUCCCCGGGCUCAACCUGGGAACUGCAUCUAAUACUGGCAAGCUUGAGUCUCGUAGAGGGGGGUAGAAUUCCAGGUGUAGCGGUGAAAUGCGUAGAGAUCUGGGGGAAUACCGGUGGCGAAGGCGGCCCCCUGGACGAAGACUGACGCUCAGGUGCGAAAGCGUGGGGAGCAAACAGG
Molecule: ribosomal RNA, 429 nt
Filed under: Chloroflexota bacterium
Lineage: Bacteria; Bacillati; Chloroflexota
Description: Chloroflexi bacterium partial 16S ribosomal RNA
Rfam family: Bacterial small subunit ribosomal RNA
Source: RNAcentral